AUUGAACGCUGGCGGCAUGCCUUACACAUGCAAGUCGAACGGCAGCACGGGUGCUUGCACCUGAUGGCGAGUGGCGAACGGGUGAGUAAUACAUCGGAACGUACCUUAUCGUGGGGGAUAACGCAGCGAAAGUUGCGCUAAUACCGCAUACGCCCUGAGGGGGAAAGCGGGGGACCGUAAGGCCUCGCGCGAUUAGAGCGGCCGAUGUCUGAUUAGCUUGUUGGUGAGGUAAAAGCUCACCAAGGCGAUGAUCAGUAGCUGGUCUGAGAGGACGAUCAGCCACACUGGGACUGAGACACGGCCCAGACUCCUACGGGAGGCAGCAUGGGGGAAUUUUGGACAAUGGGGGCAACCCUGAUCCAGCAAUGCCGCGUGAGUGAAGAAGGCCUUCGGGUUGUAAAGCUCUUUUGUCAGGGAAGAAACACCGGCUCUAACACAGUCCGGGAAUGACGGUACCUGAAGAAUAAGCACCGGCUAACUACGUGCCAGCCGCCGCCGUAA
Molecule: ribosomal RNA, 501 nt
Filed under: uncultured bacterium
Lineage: Bacteria
Description: partial 16S ribosomal RNA
Rfam family: Bacterial small subunit ribosomal RNA
Source: RNAcentral